RNAcentral lists this long non-coding RNA (221 nucleotides) under Elaeis guineensis (African oil palm). RNAcentral describes it as "long non-coding RNA (EGUI_LNC030048)". Lineage: Eukaryota; Viridiplantae; Streptophyta; Magnoliopsida; Arecales; Arecaceae. The record is from RNAcentral.
GCGGCAAUUGUUUUUGUUUGGGGCAUGAUUCGAUUUUGACGAUCUUCUUUUUUAUCUGGACUUUUCACAGUCGUAAAGCUGAUGGACUUUCCAAAUAGAGAUUGCUGCCUUUUAUGCAUCUUCUUAGGGUCGGUUUUGGUCUACCUUGAGGUUCCUCAUCGAUGGUCGAGAUACGAGCCCAAGCACUUCAGUUAAAGCGCUGAGAACUGAACACCUUGGCC